GUGCACUGAGGAAAGACAGGAAUUAUGGACGACUUAGUGUGUCGUGGAGGGUGCGGUCUCCACAGGUUGGGGCUAAAACCGCGGCAACCUGGGUGUGGAUGCAGGUGCAGGCGGCUGAGACUGUUAUGCUCAAGUACUGAGAGGCACUGGACAGGAGGCAUAGAGAAGAUCCCAUCCCUGUCCAGCAGAGCCACAGUGGAUGAGUGACUUCUGUUCACUAAACACAGCCUGUGGCAUCCACCUGUUUUUAACUUCAGAUCUAAGAAGGGGAUAUAGCCAAAUAAAAAGAUCUGCUUGCACCUGCCGGCUGCCCUGCUGUUUUGUGCCAUGAGUGGAAGCAGCCCGAGGACCACACCAGAUGCAACUCCUUAGAAUCAUGAACCAAAUAAACCUCUUUUCUUUACAAAUUA
This is a long non-coding RNA of Galeopterus variegatus (Sunda flying lemur), 410 nucleotides long. RefSeq lists it as uncharacterized. NCBI's taxonomy places the organism in Eukaryota, Metazoa, Chordata, Mammalia, Dermoptera, Cynocephalidae. The record is from RefSeq and is a predicted model, not a curated record. The transcript has 2 exons.